RNAcentral lists this ribosomal RNA (253 nucleotides) under uncultured bacterium. Its description in RNAcentral is "partial 16S ribosomal RNA". It matches the Rfam family "Bacterial small subunit ribosomal RNA", at positions 524 to 776 of the family's 1533-position model. The record is from RNAcentral.
UACGAAGGGGGCUAGCGUUGCUCGGAAUCACUGGGCGUAAAGCGCACGUAGGCGGCUUCUUAAGUCAGGGGUGAAAUCCUGGAGCUCAACUCCAGAACUGCCUUUGAUACUGAGGAGCUCGAGUCCGGGAGAGGAGAGUGGAAUUCCUGGUGUAGCGGUGAAAUGCGUAGAUAUCUGGAGGAACACCGGUGGCGAAGGCGGCAUCCUGGACCAACACUGACACUGAGGAGCGAAAGCCAGGGGAGCAAACGGG